RNAcentral lists this unclassified non-coding RNA (248 nucleotides) under Hevea brasiliensis (rubber tree). The record is from RNAcentral. Lineage: Eukaryota; Viridiplantae; Streptophyta; Magnoliopsida; Malpighiales; Euphorbiaceae.
CUACUUUAUUUACAAAUUGAUAAGCCCUUUAAUUUUAACAAGUACUACUGGACUACUAGUAUUUUAUCAAAUUAAAUUAUCAAUACUUAUUUUUUAGCAAAGGAUUAAAGAGUGGAGACUCAAACUUGACUUUACCUGAUGAGUAAUAUACCUUCGGCCAAUAAAUCAAAUCACAUUAAACGACUUAGUAUAUUUACUCUUAAGCGGAGAAUCACAAAGUUUAAUUUAAUAUAAUUCAAAGAACAAAG